AGAGUUUGAUCCCGGCUCAGGAUGAACGCUGGCGGCGUGCCUAACACAUGCAAGUCGAACGGAUCUGUAUUGAAACCUAGUGAUAUACAGGUUAGUGGCGGACGGGUGAGUAACGCGUGGAUAACCUGCCGUAUACCGGGGGAUAACACUUAGAAAUAGGUGCUAAUACCGCAUGAGCGCACAGCUCCGCAUGGAGCGGUGUGAAAAACUCCGGUGGUAUACGAUGGAUCCGCGUCUGAUUAGCCAGUUGGCGGGGUAACGGCCCACCAAAGCGACGAUCAGUAGCCGGCCUGAGAGGGUGAACGGCCACAUUGGGACUGAGACACGGCCCAGACUCCUACGGGAGGCAGCAGUGGGGAAUAUUGCACAAUGGGGGAAACCCUGAUGCAGCGACGCCGCGUGAGUGAAGAAGUAUCUCGGUAUGUAAAGCUCUACCAGCAGGAAAGAUAAUGACGGUACCUGACUAAGAAGCCCCGGCUAACUACGUG
This 488-nucleotide ribosomal RNA is filed under the name uncultured Lachnospiraceae bacterium. RNAcentral describes it as "bacterial SSU rRNA". It matches the Rfam family "Bacterial small subunit ribosomal RNA", at positions 8 to 507 of the family's 1533-position model. The record is from RNAcentral. Lineage: Bacteria; Bacillati; Bacillota; Clostridia; Lachnospirales; Lachnospiraceae.